Molecule: ribosomal RNA, 497 nt
Filed under: uncultured bacterium
Lineage: Bacteria
Description: partial 16S ribosomal RNA
Rfam family: Bacterial small subunit ribosomal RNA
Source: RNAcentral
GAUGAACGCUGGCGGCGUGCCUAAUACAUGCAAGUCGAGCGAACGGACGAGAAGCUUGCUUCUCUGAUGUUAGCGGCGGACGGGUGAGUAACACGUGGAUAACCUACCUAUAGGACUGGGAUAACUUCGGGAAACCGGAGCUAAUACCGGAUAAUAUUUUGAACCGCAUGGUUCAAAAGUGAAAGACGGUCUUGCUGUCACUUAUAGAUGGAUCCGCGCUGCAUUAGCUAGUUGGUAAGGUAACGGCUUACCAAGGCAACGAUGCAUAGCCGACCUGAGAGGGUGAUCGGCCACACUGGAACUGAGACACGGUCCAGACUCCUACGGGAGGCAGCAGUAGGGAAUCUUCCGCAAUGGGCGAAAGCCUGACGGAGCAACGCCGCGUGAGUGAUGAAGGUCUUCGGAUCGUAGAACUCUGUUAUUAGGGAAGAACAUAUGUGUAAGUAACUGUGCACAUCUUGACGGUACCUAAUCAGAAAGCCACGGCUAACUACGUG